UUGUUGUCAUCCUGAUGAGGG
Molecule: small nuclear RNA, 21 nt
Filed under: Arabidopsis thaliana (thale cress)
Lineage: Eukaryota; Viridiplantae; Streptophyta; Magnoliopsida; Brassicales; Brassicaceae
Description: snRNA_01957
Source: RNAcentral